GACAGAGGGUGCAAACGUUGCUCGGAAUUACUGGGCGUAAAGCGCGUGUAGGUGGUGCGGUAAGUCGGGUGUGAAAGCCCGGGGCCUAACCCCGGAAGUGCAUUCGAAACUGCCGUGCUGGAGUACUGAAGAGGAUCGCGGAAUUCCCGGUGUAGAGGUGAAAUUCGUAGAUAUCGGGAGGAACACCAGUGGCGAAGGCGGCGAUCUGGGCAGAUACUGACACUGAGACGCGAAAGCGUGGGGAG
This 245-nucleotide ribosomal RNA is filed under the name uncultured bacterium. RNAcentral's name for it is "partial 16S ribosomal RNA". It matches the Rfam family "Bacterial small subunit ribosomal RNA", at positions 524 to 768 of the family's 1533-position model. The record is from RNAcentral.